RNAcentral lists this ribosomal RNA (473 nucleotides) under uncultured bacterium. RNAcentral describes it as "bacterial SSU rRNA". It matches the Rfam family "Bacterial small subunit ribosomal RNA", at positions 21 to 507 of the family's 1533-position model. The record is from RNAcentral.
GGCUCAGGAUGAACGCUGGCGGCGUGCUUAACACAUGCAAGUCGAACGAUUGAAGCUGGAGCUUGCUCCGGCCGAUUUAGUGGCGGACGGGUGAGUAACGCGUGGGUAACCUGCCUUGUACUGGGGGAUAGCAGCUGGAAACGGCUGGUAAUACCGCAUAAGCGCACGGUAUCGCAUGAUACAGUGUGAAAAACUCCGGUGGUAUGAGAUGGACCCGCGUCUGAUUAGCUGGUUGGUGAGGUAACGGCCCACCAAGGCGACGAUCAGUAGCCGACCUGAGAGGGUGACCGGCCACAUUGGGACUGAGACACGGCCCAGACUCCUACGGGAGGCAGCAGUGGGGAAUAUUGCACAAUGGAGGAAACUCUGAUGCAGCGACGCCGCGUGAGUGAAGAAGUAGUUCGCUAUGUAAAGCUCUAUCAGCAGGGAAGAUAGUGACGGUACCUGACUAAGAAGCUCCGGCUAAAUACGUG